RNAcentral lists this ribosomal RNA (459 nucleotides) under uncultured Actinomycetaceae bacterium. RNAcentral describes it as "bacterial SSU rRNA". It matches the Rfam family "Bacterial small subunit ribosomal RNA", at positions 338 to 795 of the family's 1533-position model. Lineage: Bacteria; Bacillati; Actinomycetota; Actinomycetes; Actinomycetales; Actinomycetaceae. The record is from RNAcentral.
CCUACGGGAGACAGCAGUGGGGGAUAUUGCACAAUGGGCGCAAGCCUGAUGCAGCGACGCCGCGUGGGGGAUGACGGCUUUCGGGUUGUAAACCUCUUUCGUCGGGGGACAAGGCUCUGCUUGGUGGUGGGGUUGAGGGUACCCGGUGAAGAAGCGCCGGCUAACUACGUGCCAGCAGCCGCGGUAAUACGUAGGGCGCGAGCGUUGUCCGGAAUUAUUGGGCGUAAAGGGCUCGUAGGCGGCUUGUCGCGUCUGCUGUGAAAAUGCGGGGCUUAACUCCGUACGUGCAGUGGGUACGGGCAGGCGAGAGUGCGGUAGGGGUGACUGGAAUUCCUGGUGUAGCGGGGGAAUGCGCAGAUAUCAGGAGGAACACCGAUGGCGAAGGCAGGUCACUGGGCUGUUACUGACGCUGAGGCGCGAAAGCCAGGGGAGCGAACGGGAUUAGAUACCCUAGUAGUC